UGGGGAAUUUUGGACAAUGGGCGAAAGCCUGAUCCAGCAAUGCCGCGUGUGUGAAGAAGGCCUUCGGGUUGUAAAGCACUUUUGUCCGGAAAGAAAUCCUUGGCUCUAAUACAGUCGGGGGAUGACGGUACCGGAAGAAUAAGCACCGGCUAACUACGUGCCAGCAGCCGCGGUAAUACGUAGGGUGCAAGCGUUAAUCGGAAUUACUGGGCGUAAAGCGUGCGCAGGCGGUUUGCUAAGACCGAUGUGAAAUCCCCGGGCUCAACCUGGGAACUGCAUUGGUGACUGGCAGGCUAGAGUAUGGCAGAGGGGGGUAGAAUUCCACGUGUAGCAGUGAAAUGCGUAGAGAUGUGGAGGAAUACCGAUGGCGAGGCAGCCCCCUGGGCCAAUACUGACGCUCAUGCACGAAAGCGUGGGGAGCAAACAGGAUUAGAUACCCUGGUAGUCCACGCCCUAAACGAUGUCAACUAGUUNUUGGGGGAUUCAUUUCCUUAGUAACGUAGCUAACGCGUGAAGUUGACCGCCUGGGGGAGUACGGUCGCAAGAUUAAAACUCAAAGGAAUUGACGGGGUCAAGCUG
This 579-nucleotide ribosomal RNA is filed under the name uncultured bacterium. RNAcentral describes it as "partial 16S ribosomal RNA". It matches the Rfam family "Bacterial small subunit ribosomal RNA", at positions 355 to 926 of the family's 1533-position model. The record is from RNAcentral.